ACGCACGCUGGCGGCGUGCUUCACACAUGCAAGUCGCACGGAAAGGCCCUGCUUUUGUGGGGUGCUCGAGUGGCGAACGGGUGAGUAACACGUGAGUAACCUGCCCUUGACUUUGGGAUAACUUCAGGAAACUGGGGCUAAUACCGGAUAGGAGCUCCUGCUGCAUGGUGGGGGUUGGAAAGUUUCGGCGGUUGGGGAUGGACUCGCGACUUAUCAGCUUGUUGGUGGGGUAGUGGCUUACCAAGGCUUUGACGGGUAGCCGGCCUGAGAGGGUGACCGGCCACAUUGGGACUGAGAUACGGCCCAGACUCCUACGGGAGGCAGCAGUGGGGAAUAUUGCACAAUGGGCGGAAGCCUGAUGCAGCAACGCCGCGUGCGGGAUGACGGCCUUCGGGUUGUAAACCGCUUUCGCCUGUGACGAAGCGUGAGUGACGGUAAUGGGUAAAGAAGCACCGGCUAACUACGUG
Molecule: ribosomal RNA, 467 nt
Filed under: uncultured bacterium
Lineage: Bacteria
Description: partial 16S ribosomal RNA
Rfam family: Bacterial small subunit ribosomal RNA
Source: RNAcentral